This 1805-nucleotide long non-coding RNA is filed under the name Struthio camelus australis. Its description in RNAcentral is "lncRNA (ENSSCUG00000011028.1)". The record is from RNAcentral. Lineage: Eukaryota; Metazoa; Chordata; Aves; Struthioniformes; Struthionidae.
CUUCUUUUAGCCACUCAGGGACGACUUCUAAAUCUGUUUCCACCGUCCUGGCACUGACAUUUUUGAAGCAAAUCAUCAACUCUCUCGCAUCUCCAUUUUGUUUGACAGCCGGCAAGACAGCCGAAGCACUGUGACAAAUUACUAACAUCAGAAAUCCCAUCAAGGAAUAUUGUGAAAAAUAGAAACUCUGCAACUACGUCGUUCAGAGCCCCCGACAUCACGGCUGCAAGUAGCAUCAAUCACAGACCUUGCCAGAUAUGAUCAGACAGUCUCUGAAACACCUUUGCACUCUCCAGAAGUGUUGUUAGCUACACACCGUACUUAUGAGUGAGAUUGGAAACUUCUUCCAAAGCUUCACUUAACCAAAGCUGCAAGAGGAGGAGAACGGCCCUCCUGCCUUUACCUCCUGCCAGCACAGAGGAAGCUUUUCUGCAGCCCUGGGAGCGCUCCGCCAGGCGUAAGCCAAGCUGAAGUCACUGCUCUUCAGCGCUGGAUUUUUGAAGUCUACCUUGGGAAGGUCUGAGGCUGCUUGCACAACAUGUGGAACGUACCAAAGUUUGGGCUUUUCCUACAGCGCAGUCACCUUGCUCAACUCCUCCUUGGAGCUGCCUUUCCAAAAACACUGCUGCAAGAGGGAAGCAGUAGAAAUGGUGUUUUCGGACUAACAGCAAGGGAAAGAUUCAGGAAGUUCUGCUGUGCUCCCUUUCAGGUGGAUGAGGCCAUACUGGAAACGCGGAACUGGAACGCGCCAUGCGAGCGCUGCCCCGUCUCCUUUAGGCUGUACUCGUGCAGUGAGAAGAGCUGACUUGCUGCACAGAUGAAAGGAGGAAGUAAACAGGAGCAACAAAUCCGUGCUCAAGGCAGCACCUCGUCAUCCGAUGCUCGGGCUCACCGAGGGGCCAGCCGCGGGUUAGCGCCGUCGUGCUCGGCUCUGGAAAACAAGCCGUGACGGACAGCUCCUGUGCCCUGACACCCAAUCUCUGCACUCAACUGCAGAAAAUCAAAACAUUCAGCGCAAGCAGAGGCGCUCGGGUCACACGACAGCUGGCCAGGAUCCAGCUCCUCUCCCUAUGCUCUUUGGGCUGGGUAAACUUGCUUAGAUUUUUCUUUUAAUGUAACUUUACUCCAAUUUUGCUUUAACUUGUAUGUCAAGAUGAAAGGUUUUUUUUUUUCAGGAUUAUAGUUAUUUCACGCUAACCUGGAGACCCAAGAAAUUGGAAUGGAACUCCUAAAACAUGCUGUAGCUUUAUGUGACAGGUACAAAACCAGAGCUAUUGGUGAUCUGAACUAUAAUUACAGGAAUACACACAAAACAGGCCUGAAAGGGGCCUCAGCAUAGCCACAUAGUCCAUUCCUCUGCUUCAUGACAGGAACAUUUUAACCUAGACCGCUCCUGAGAGGGAUUUGUCUAACCUAUUUUAGAAACCUCCUCAAAAAGCCUACUGAAGAGGGCUAGCUAUUCAAAUUACAGCUCUACAGCCUUUCAAGUGGAUAGUUUCUCCUAAAUCUCCUUGCAAUUUAAACACACUAAUGCUUGUCCAAUAGAGACUGGUCGUGCAGAAAAGUAUGCUACCUUCCUGGUUUUCGCAAUGUUUUGAGGACUAUUAUCUUGUCUGUUAGUUAUCCUUUCUCCUUUCAGAUAUCCUUUCCUCAAAGGACGACCUUACAGCAAUCAAUACUCCUGUCAAAAGUGAGCUGCGCCACUGAAAAGCCUGCUUAUUCCAUCUCCAUGGAGCCAGCACGGCCCCCGGAGCUGCAGGCACUAAAGCAAUACUAGUCUUUACACAAGACAGUACAUAUCACGA